RNAcentral lists this long non-coding RNA (659 nucleotides) under Phascolarctos cinereus (koala). RNAcentral's name for it is "lncRNA (ENSPCIG00000021167.2)". Lineage: Eukaryota; Metazoa; Chordata; Mammalia; Diprotodontia; Phascolarctidae. The record is from RNAcentral.
UUGAACUUCUUUCUAAAACUUUUCUCGAGUUUGGGUUUGUUCUUGAUCAACAAUAUGUUCUCACAAGUGGGAUUCCCUGAUGGUCAAACAGAGAAACAAAAGGCUCACCUGGACCAUGGAUGCUGACUAAGUCUCUGUGAUUUCAGAAUUGAGGCAGGUGGGAGUGACCUAUAUAGAAUUAUUCAGCACAGAGAGAAUCUGGAAAUCACCAUGAGGGUCAUUGCACAAUUUGGAACCUGGCAAGAGUAUCUACAGGAAGAAAUACCUCUGCAAAUCUGCCUUAGAAACAAGUGUCUGGAUCCUUUUGGAGGAGAGCUUCGGUGCCAGAUUUAAGACAAAACUGGAAGUUUAAAUCCAAGUCUUCCUUGUUUCAGGGCCUUAUAAAAUUACUGGUUAUAAUAUUUCAGUCUAUGGCUGGGAACACCUUAAGGGUCCCACAAAGAUGCUACAUUGGAGAUCUAAAUUACUCCUGUGAAGUGAUAUAAAAACAAUAACAAGCAUGUAUGCAGCACUUUAAAAAUGAGGAGGACCAGGUACAUCAAUUGAUACAAUUUUUUUUAGAUACUUGAAAUUCAAAAAAAGAUUAGGUAUUUGUACUUGAUACUUCAUGAUUUUUCUUCUAUGUCUUUGUUAUCAAUAAAAAGACUUUUCAAAUAACA